This 420-nucleotide ribosomal RNA is filed under the name uncultured bacterium. Its description in RNAcentral is "bacterial SSU rRNA". It matches the Rfam family "Bacterial small subunit ribosomal RNA", at positions 356 to 773 of the family's 1533-position model. The record is from RNAcentral.
GAGGAAUAUUGGUCAAUGGGCGAGAGCCUGAGCCAGCCAAGUCGCGUGAAGGAAGAAGGAUCUAUGGUUCGUAAACUUCUUUUGCAGGGGAAUAAAGUGCAGGACGUGUCCUGUUUUGUAUGUACCCUGAGAAUAAGGAUCGGCUAACUCCGUGCCAGCAGCCGCGGUAAUACGGAGGAUCCGAGCGUUAUCCGGAUUUAUUGGGUUUAAAGGGUGCGUAGGUGGUUUUAUAAGUCAGCGGUGAAAGUUUGCAGCUUAACUGUAAAAAUGCCGUUGAAACUGUAAGACUUGAGUGUAAAUGAGGUAGGCGGAAUGCGUGGUGUAGCGGUGAAAUGCAUAGAUAUCACGCAGAACUCCGAUUGCGAAGGCAGCUUACUAAGCUACAACUGACACUGAAGCACGAAAGCGUGGGGAUCAAAC